UAUUUUCCUAAGCAAACUCCCAUUGACUGGCGAGUUAUUUUUAUACCAUUUAGCUCGCUUGGCCUCCAAAAAAGGGAAUUGGAAAGAAAUCUCUUAUCUCUUAUCUCCCUAGUUCUACCUUUCUUAUCAUUUGCAGAGAGCUAGCUUAUUAGCAAAGAAAAGUCACGGGAGAUAGAAGAUAGAACAAUGAUUGAAAUGAUCAGCCAAAGAGAGACCUCCUGAGCUGUUGCAAGUCUAAAUACAUAUCCAAUAGUUUCUUCAGAGAGAGUACAAAAAAUCCAGGACUUUCAGAGUUGAUCGGUGCCAGGCAUCAUAGUCUGGGAAUCUCCUCUUCUGCAUGGCUAAAGGUGAGGUUGCUGUAUUUGGUCCACCAGAAUUUACUGGCCGAUUUAAGCCUAGUGGAAAGGGAGGGAUAUAUAAAUAAUCCAAUGGUUCCUUCUCUUAGCGUCAGUGAACCAAGUUCAGUGAUCUAAUCAGCCACGAAAAGUAAGAAAAAAGGAACUUUUGAGCUCGUCAACCACUUCGGUGAAGGAAUGGGAAUAGACCCGAUCUAGUUGUUGUUACAGUGUUCCCUCUUAGAUGGAGCCUCAACAGCAGCUAGGUCUAGAGGGAAGUUGUGAGCAUUACGUUCAUGCAUAACUUCUAUACCAAAGUUAGCACGGUUAAUAAUAUCAGCCCAAGUAUUAAUAACACGCCCUUGACUAUCAACUACUGAUUGGUUGAAAUUUAAACCAUUUAGGUUGAAAGCCAUAGUGCUAAUACCUAAAGCAGUAAACCAAAUACCUACUACCGGCCAAGCCGCUAAGAAGAAAUGUAAAGAACGAGAAUUGUUGAAACGGAAGAUCAAUCGGCCAAAAUAACCAUGAGCAGCUACAAUGUUGUAAGUUUAUUCUUCUUGACCGAAUCUGUAACCUUCAUUAGCAGAUUCAUUUUCUAUGGUUUCCCUGAUCAAACUAGAAGUUACCAAGGAACCCAUGUAUAGCACUAAAUAGGGAGCCGCCGAAUACACCAGCUACACCUAACAUGUGAAAUGGGUGCAUAAGAAUGUUGUGCUCAGCCUGGAAUAAUCAUUAGAAGCACGUACCGGACACCUCACCUAUUGUCGUCUACUGGCGGCCAUUUGUCAUAAAAAUAAAAGAAAGAGCACGCCGUAAGCGCACGAAACUAUGAGCUCCUAACUACUGUGUAAUCAAUAUCUCCUUACCCCCAUGCAUACUAAAACUAAAAGAAUAGGACAAGGAAGUGACAUAUAAUACUAAUAUAAGAGAAAGCUGGUAUUCAAUUAGCUAGAGAGGGAGACAGGGCUAAGGCAGAUGCCAGUCUAAUCUUCCUUAGAAUGGCUUGUGCAAUUGAAGCUUGGUUUAAUAAUAGUAUAAGUAAGAUGGCAUAGAAUGUGCUGUUGUCGCAUGAAUAGGAAUAGGUUGUUCAAGAAGUGGUUGCAUAUAGUUGAAGGGGGCUUGUAUGAAGAAGAAAAGGAAGAAGGAGCUGUUGAGUCAGAUGUGGCAUUAGACUGUUUUCAAAUAGGUUCUUCUCGAAGUGGUCAUUAGUAAGCCAAGGAACUGAUUGACCCAAGGCAAAGAGUCCGUUCAUGGUAUAAGUCCUUUCGACAAAGAAUGCCGACUUUCCUAAAACGAUUGGAACUAGGGGAAGGGGAGAAGGCAGAAGGUAAGAGAAAAGGGAAAGGGGAGAGUGGUCA
RNAcentral lists this small RNA (1696 nucleotides) under Arabidopsis thaliana (thale cress). RNAcentral's name for it is "ATSL087870". Lineage: Eukaryota; Viridiplantae; Streptophyta; Magnoliopsida; Brassicales; Brassicaceae. The record is from RNAcentral.